GAAAUAUGUAUAAUCAAAUAAUAGCUGCUAACUAAUUAUUUUAACGAAUAAAACCGUUUAUAUUUCU
Molecule: transfer RNA, 67 nt
Filed under: Eurycantha calcarata
Lineage: Eukaryota; Metazoa; Arthropoda; Insecta; Phasmatodea; Phasmatidae
Description: tRNA-Ser
Source: RNAcentral